Molecule: long non-coding RNA, 2892 nt
Organism: Gambusia affinis (western mosquitofish)
Lineage: Eukaryota; Metazoa; Chordata; Actinopteri; Cyprinodontiformes; Poeciliidae
Exons: 3
Source: RefSeq, a predicted model, not a curated record
GCCAGUAACCUGUUCAAUAGUAACCACAGUUAAUGCUUACACACUUCACUGGUCUGUGAACGUGUUUCACAGAGGAAAGAUACCCACCCAUGAUUCGAUAUUUGAGAGAAUUGUUUGUGAAAGAGUCUUCCAGACCGCAGCGGGGCUGCCUCAUCAUUUCCAGUGUGGAUGAAUCCAGGAUUCCAGAUACUUGAAGUAAAACUCCAGCCGCAGACGGUUUUGUUUGUUCUUACCACUGCUUCGGUGAGGUCCUUGCUGCUCAGAGCAAUAGAUGAAGCUGUUGUCAGCAAAACAAGAAGCACCAUUAGCUCCAGUCUGCAGAACAUUUUCCACUCUGGAUCCUUUCCCAUCACAGAUGAAAAACAAAACUGGCUAGAAUAAAUUUGUGAAAAAAACAAGUGACCACAUAUUCCCCAGAGGGACAAGAGGAACCGCUUGUUAUUUCGCUUCUUAAUGUAGGAUCGCAUUCAAGAGAAACCAGCGACGCCUCCAAGUAACCAUUGCAACAAAUCAGUGACAGAGAACGUCUCGUUUUCAGUCUCAUUGAGAAACAAUGGCUCAUAAAAACUGAGAGGAGAGAAAAAGUCAGUCUGUAAUCUCCAACCAUGUUUUUAAAAAACGGCUAAUAUUAAUGAUAACGCAUAAUUUAGUCCUUCUGAGAAAGAUAAAAGAUUUUUCUCUAUUCCCUUAAACUUUUUAACUGUUUUUUUUCUCCUCCAUUAGAUUAAGCCAAGUUACAGAUGACUAAUGAAAGUGUUAUUUGAUGUACACUACAGAAACACAAAGUCUUACAAAGUAUUUCUGCUUUGUUUCUAGUGCAAAUAUCUUAUUACACUUGACAUGAGACAAAACUAACUUAAAAGUAACAUUUCAGUAAGAUAAACAAGCUUGUUUCAAGUAGAUAAUUCCUGAAUAUAAAGUACUACUUUCACUUUUAGAUUAUUUCACUUAUAAAAUGGGGGAAACGUGUUAUUAUAAGUGACAUAACCUGCAACAAUAUUAAUUCAUUAUUGACUUAAAAGUUCCUAUAUCUUGCUUAAAAGUUACUUGUUAGUUAGUUUUAUAAUAUUACAAAGUAAUAUAAUAUUUGGAUUAGAAACUGUUAAAAAAAUUCUUGGUGUGAUUGUGUUUUUCAGUGUACUUAGAAAACUAUGAAAAUAUGUUGCAUGAUUGAUUACCAACAGCAUAUGUUGAUAUAUUCUUGAAUUUUACAAAGCUAUGAGGUUUAGUUUAUGUCCUAGUAUUGGUUAUUAACAAUCGCUGUUUCAAAUUGAUUAAAGAGGUUUAAUAAAUACCCUUUAAAAGUAUUACAGGUUUCAUAAUCUGUGAACUUUUAUUUCAAGCACAACAGAAAUGUAAUGUAGAUCAAAAUUGAGCAGUAUGUAAUACAAUUAUGGAAAAUAUAACUGAAGCCUCAUCUGUAAGCAGAUACAAGCAGUUGUCCACUAAAAACGAUCAGUUUCUCCUGAUGUUUGAUUGUCUGCAGCUUAUGUUCUGGCGAUGAACUUAAUUUUCAUUGUAUCAAAGUCAAGAUGCCCAGAAGGUUACCCACUGCAGGUAAGAUACUGACUGCUCUUAUUGGAGCUGUGCCUUUAAGUUAACUACAUUCAUCAGAGAGAAAGAAAUGGCUGCAUUCAUAUAAUGCCUUUCUAUUCUUGUUGACCACACGAUGCUUUACAACACAAACCACAAGAACCCCAAUGGCACACAUAUGAAUACGUCGCUUUUUACUCAAUGCACCGUGUACAUUUGUGUUCCAACGCUCAGCGACCGCAUAAGAACCAAUGUCGUGAAGGACAAGAUUGGGACGCUUCUUAAAUUUUUCUAAAUUGAAUUGUAACUGCAUGCAAUAGGAUAUAAAAACAUUGAUUAUCCUUUACUGUUACUGGGGUCUCCCUUUUUUUAAUCAGGAUAAAUAAGACAUUGGAAUAAUUUACCAAAUACUUCAGGACGCCUCUGCAAGGUAUAAGCAGACUUUGCAUCUGCUAUUAGACCUCUCCUGCUGACCUGGAGGAUAUGAAACAAUUUUCUUUUGUUUCACUUUGAGUAAAGUGUAUUCAGUAACACUUUACCCAAAGUGGGCAGAAAGAAAAGUAAUUAUGCCAUAAAAAUAUGUAAAAGAUUUUGACUGCCAAUAUUCUGACAAUUUUCGUGGUUUUAAUUUAGAUUGUAAUUGAGCAGGUAAAAAUUUUUAAAAAAGACACAAGAAAUAAUAUUUAAAUGUAUUAUUAUUAUUAUUGUUGUUGUUGUUGUUGUUUGUUGGUUAUUUUGUUGAGCUGACAAAAAAAAGCAUUCUCAUUUUAUAUCUUUGCUGUUAUUUGCACAAUCAUCUGCAUAUUCUUUUGUAAAUAGGAUUUUGUAAAAUCAGACAUAUUUUGUAAAUUUUUAAAAUGAUGUUGAAUAGAAAAAUAGAAAAAAUAGAAACAUUAUUCUACUCAGGUGCAAAUCUCUUUGAAACUUUUUCAGUAACUGCACAGUAUUGUUCCUUAUGUUGUAACUUUGACCUCACAAUACAGUGAUUGUUUAUUUUUUCUUCAUAUUUUACCUUUGUGUGAAUCAGCAUGCGAUUCCCCCACUGAGAGAUAAUAAAGAAUAUCUAAUUCUAUUCUCAAAUGUCAAAAGUUAAAUUUGAAGAACUCUCCUCCCAGAGGUUUCCUUUGGAGUCUAAAUGUAGACAAAGCAAGCUAUUUAAGUUUAAGUUUAUUAAAAUAGACAACCAAAGGCUGAAUUAGAAUCUUUGUUUAGGUUAAAUUUUGAUGGAGAAUGUGAGCUAAAAAAGUUUUAUUGAAUCGUUUUGAGCAAAAUGAGGGCAAUGACUGGCUGACCUGACAAGAGCAAAAAAUAAAAAAAGUGUUUGGAGAGCAGUUCAACAAUGCAAUGAAAAACUCACAG